UACGAAGGGGGCUAGCGUUGUUCGGAAUUACUGGGCGUAAAGGGCGCGUAGGCGGUACUUCAAGUCAGGCGUGAAAGCCCCGGGCUCAACCUGGGAACCGCGCUUGAGACUGGAGAACUAGAGUUCGGGAGAGGAUGGUGGAAUUCCCGGUGUAGAGGUGAAAUUCGUAGAUAUUGGGAAGAACACCGAUGGCGAAGGCAGCCAUCUGGACCGACACUGACGCUGAGGCGCGAAAGCGUGGGGAGCAAACAGG
Molecule: ribosomal RNA, 253 nt
Filed under: uncultured bacterium
Lineage: Bacteria
Description: partial 16S ribosomal RNA
Rfam family: Bacterial small subunit ribosomal RNA
Source: RNAcentral